AGAGGGAGCUUGCUUCCUCAAUCGAGUGGCGAACGGGUGAGUAACGCGUGAGGAACCUGCCUCAAAGAGGGGGACAACAGUUGGAAACGACUGCUAAUACCGCAUAAGCCCACGACCCGGCAUCGGGUUGAGGGAAAAGGAGCAAUCCGCUUUGAGAUGGCCUCGCGUCCGAUUAGCUAGUUGGUGAGGUAACGGCCCACCAAGGCGACGAUCGGUAGCCGGACUGAGAGGUUGAACGGCCACAUUGGGACUGAGACACGGCCCAGACUCCUACGGGAGGCAGCAGUGGGGAAUAUUGCACAAUGGGGGAAUCCCUGAUGCAGCGACGCCGCGUGGAGGAAGAAGGUUCUUCGGAUGUAAACUCCUGUUGUUGAGGAAGAUAAUGACGGUACUCAACAAGGAAGUGACGGCUAACUACGUGCCAGCAGCCGCGGUAAAACGUAGGUCACAAGCGUUGUCCGGAAUUACUGGGUGUAAAGGGAGCGCAGCGGGCGAUCAAGUUGGAAGUGAAAUCCAUGGGCUCAACCCAUGAACUGCUUUCAAAACUGAUUGUCUUGAGUAGUGCAGAGGUAGGCGGAAUUCCCGGUGUAGCGGUGGAAUGCGUAGAUAUCGGGAGGAACACCAGUGGCGAAGGCGGCCUACUGGGCACCAACUGACGCUGAGGCUCGAAAGUGUGGGUAGCAAACAGGAUUAGAUACCCUGGUAGUCCACACCGUAAACGAUGAUUACUAGGUGUUGGAGGAUUGACCCCUUCAGUGCCGCAGUUAACACAAUAAGUAAUCCACCUGGGGAGUACGACCGCAAGGUUGAAACUCAAAGGAAUUGACGG
RNAcentral lists this ribosomal RNA (829 nucleotides) under uncultured bacterium. RNAcentral's name for it is "bacterial SSU rRNA". It matches the Rfam family "Bacterial small subunit ribosomal RNA", at positions 71 to 916 of the family's 1533-position model. The record is from RNAcentral.